Molecule: long non-coding RNA, 344 nt
Organism: Micropterus dolomieu (smallmouth bass)
Lineage: Eukaryota; Metazoa; Chordata; Actinopteri; Centrarchiformes; Centrarchidae
Exons: 2
Source: RefSeq, a predicted model, not a curated record
GUCACGAACCCCCCCCCCCCGUGACCCUGGCCUGCCUGUUGCCCUGAGGCUGCUGGUGAGCGUGGUGAUCUGAGCUCCAGGUUUUCCCACCUGAAGCACAUCCGCAAUCAGCACACCAGGGCCUCUGCCUGCAAUCAACACGCCUUUAAGAGAUCUGCCAACCUUCCAGUCCCCGCCGGAUCGUUGUACCUAACCGAAACCUGCACAUGCACCACGCGGAUUCCCUCCUGUGCCCCGGAAUCAUCUAAGCUCGGGGACCAGAACCGCAGGCCCUCAGAACAACCACCUCACCCCCAACCUCUCCCAGGUCACCCUUGAGCUCAAUAAACCACUUCUGUACAUUU